Molecule: long non-coding RNA, 1959 nt
Filed under: Equus caballus (horse)
Lineage: Eukaryota; Metazoa; Chordata; Mammalia; Perissodactyla; Equidae
Description: lncRNA (ENSECAG00000049845.1)
Source: RNAcentral
CUGGAAGUUCUGUGGGCACCUGGGGGCUGGGGGGGCUUCUGUUCCCAUCCAGUCUUAGGGCUGUCGUGACGGGGAGUUGGGGCCACGAGGAGGCUGCCCUGGACAUGGGCCGGGACUGGCGCUCGUCCCUGCUGCUUCCUGCAGUGAUAUAAACUGUGUUAUGAGUCUGUGGUUUUUCUUCUCAACUAGAUUGAGUCUUGAGAGCAGAGACUAUGACUGAUUCAAAAAAUAUAUUAAUUAGAUAUAUUAAUUAAAGAGCACAAUUCAGUGGCAUACAGUAUAUUCACAGUGUUAUGAUACCACCACCUUCUGCCUGGUUCCAAAUGUUUUCAUCACCCCAAAGGGCACCCCACACUCGGUAAGCAGUUACCCCCCGUCCCCCUGCCCCAGCCCCUGGCCACCCCCAUCUGCUUUCUGUCUCUGUGUACAAGUGAACUUCUGUUUCCAUCCCACUCGGUUCACUGCUGACACUUUUCCCCACACCAGUGACUCUCCAACUCUCUCACACCAGCUGGGCGUCCUAAAUUCAGUUCCCUUCUGACGCUCCCUGGAGUUGGUGCAGACCCUGCAGGUGAAGGGCCGGGCCGCACGAGACUGCCCCCGCCGCAGCCGCCAGUCACCAGUAGUGGGUCCUCAGGUCCCCACACUGUGUCUGACUUGGCUACAACUCGGAGUUCCCAUGACCUCCUCCUUGGGUUUGAUAAUUUGCUAGAGUGGCUCACAGAACUCAGGGAGACACUUACAUACAUUUACCAGUUUAUCAUAAAGGAUAGAGCUGAAGUGGUACCCAGGGCGACGUCCGGAAGGGCCCCGAGCCCAGGAGCUCCUGUCCCCGUGGAACUGGGGUGGACGCGUUCACCAACCGGCAGCUCUCUGAACCUGUUUGCCCAGGGAUUUUUAUGGAGGCUCGGUUCCCUGGGCCUGCUUGAUUACAUCAUUGGCCACUGGUGAUCCACUCUUGUUUAAUCCUCACGACCAGACAGAGGUCUUUUAAAGCAGGGCAGCUGAGGCCCAGGAGCUUAAGCAAAAAUAGAUCCCAAAUUUGCACCUGACUAUGUGGCAUCAGAGGCAAAGCUCAGAGGCCCUGCUGGUCCAGGGGAAAUUGCUGCCCCAUGGGUGGCCUAUGUCCCGGGCCGUGGGAGCCCAUUUUCACCUUCUAUUCAAGCACCUCCUCAUCACGGCCGCGGGGCCCCUUCUCACCCCCCUGAGCAUCCUAGAGAUUCUCCUCAAGGGCGUGUGAAGAAAAGCAGUUUCUGGCCCUUUCCAGCUUGCACAGCGAUAGGGGCUCUCCCUCCGGAAUCGAAACCCUUUCUUGUCAGUUGCAGUCAGCCGAGAUCAGAGGACAAAUUCCCAUUAAACUGUCAAGGAGGCAUCCGCUUUUUUUCUUUUUACCAUUAAAAAGCCACCGAUUCAAUAAUUUCCUAUUCUUCCUUCCAACUAUUCUUGCUCCCGACAAUGCAAUCAAAGCAGGAGCGGGCAAAACUUCCCCUCCUCCCCGGGUCUUCCUUUUUCUGGUCUCCCAGAAGGGAGUAGAGGCACUUUCCAUUUUUUCUUUGAGGAUUGGGAGUCACCGCUCCAAGCACCUUCCUUCCUCCCAUUUUGCAUUUUAAUGAUGGACACUUCCUUAAUGGUAAGGUGACUUUCUGAUGGAGGAAUUUUUAAAAAGAGUUUUCUGCAGAAAGACGUGGUGGCAGGAGGAUCCUGUGUGUUCCUCAGGUCAGGCAGGGAGUGGCACCUCAUUUUUGGGGAGGCAGGCCGUGCAGAUGGGGCUGUGGGCAAGGAAAGUGUGGAGCAAAUUCCACGGAGCAAAAAUGGAAAGCAGCUUCUCCCCCACUCCUAGCAGCUGAGAAAAUUGAAAGCCCCAGGGAAGGAAAGAACUGCGAUUGCGGGUGAAAUGCCGCUGGUCCCAGAGAGCUGCCGAGAAGGCUUGCAGCCCCUGUCCUUGCCCCUUCCUCCCGU